AGCCGCCGAAGGUGGGGUAGAUGAUUGGGGUGAAGUCGUAACAAGGUAGCCGUAUCGGAAGGUGCGGCUGGAUCACCUCCUUUCUAAGGA
This 90-nucleotide ribosomal RNA is filed under the name Paenibacillus sp. 1011MAR3C5. Its description in RNAcentral is "partial 16S ribosomal RNA". It matches the Rfam family "Bacterial small subunit ribosomal RNA", at positions 1451 to 1533 of the family's 1533-position model. The record is from RNAcentral. Lineage: Bacteria; Bacillati; Bacillota; Bacilli; Caryophanales; Paenibacillaceae.